Ipomoea nil (Japanese morning glory) is the source of this 151-nucleotide long non-coding RNA. RefSeq lists it as uncharacterized. The record is from RefSeq and is a predicted model, not a curated record. The transcript has 3 exons. Lineage: Eukaryota; Viridiplantae; Streptophyta; Magnoliopsida; Solanales; Convolvulaceae.
GAGAAGGUUUUAUUGAAAACGUGAGAAAGCAUCGAGAAAAAAAAAAACAAAAAUAAUUUUGUUUUAACCCUGCGACAUAGAAGGAAUAGGAAAAGACCCUAUAGAAACAUUUUCAAUUUAAAACGGAUUAGAUCGUAAGAACGUCGUGUAG